UGUUUCGGCUAGGGGGCCAUCCCGGCUUACCAACCCGAUGCAAACUGCGAAUACCGGAGAAUGUUAUCACGGGAGACACACGGCGGGUGCUAACGUCCGUCGUGAAGAGGGAAACAACCCAGACCGCCAGCUAAGGUCCCAAAGUCAUGGUUAAGUGGGAAACGAUGUGGGAAGGCCCAGACAGCCAGGAUGUUGGCUUAGAAGCAGCCAUCAUUUAAAGAAAGCGUAAUAGCUCACUGGUCGAGUCGGCCUGCGCGGAAGAUGUAACGGGGCUAAACCAUGCACCGAAGCUGCGGCAGCGACGCUUAUGCGUUGUUGGGUAGGGGAGCGUUCUGUAAGCCUGCGAAGGUGGCCUGUGAGGG
RNAcentral lists this ribosomal RNA (362 nucleotides) under Salmonella enterica subsp. enterica. RNAcentral's name for it is "partial 23S ribosomal RNA". It matches the Rfam family "Bacterial large subunit ribosomal RNA", at positions 911 to 1269 of the family's 2925-position model. The record is from RNAcentral. Lineage: Bacteria; Pseudomonadati; Pseudomonadota; Gammaproteobacteria; Enterobacterales; Enterobacteriaceae.